UACGGAGGGUGCAAGCGUUAUCCGGAUUUACUGGGUUUAAAGGGUGCGUAGGUGGAUUAGUAAGUCAGUGGUGAAAUCUCCGAGCUUAGCUCGGAAACUGCCAUUGAUACUAUUAGUCUUGAAUAUUCUGGAGGUGAGCGGAAUAUGUCAUGUAGCGGUGAAAUGCUUAGAUAUGACAUAGAACACCAAUUGCGAAGGCAGCUCACUGCGGGAUUAUUGACACUGAGGCACGAAAGCGUGGGGAUCACACAGU
This 253-nucleotide ribosomal RNA is filed under the name uncultured bacterium. Its description in RNAcentral is "partial 16S ribosomal RNA". It matches the Rfam family "Bacterial small subunit ribosomal RNA", at positions 524 to 776 of the family's 1533-position model. The record is from RNAcentral.